This 59-nucleotide transfer RNA is filed under the name Loxodonta africana (African savanna elephant). It matches the Rfam family "tRNA", at positions 8 to 63 of the family's 71-position model. From Rfam's summary of the family: Transfer RNA (tRNA) molecules are approximately 80 nucleotides in length. Their secondary structure includes four short double-helical elements and three loops (D, anti-codon, and T loops). Lineage: Eukaryota; Metazoa; Chordata; Mammalia; Proboscidea; Elephantidae. The record is from Rfam by way of RNAcentral.
UGGUGCAAAUGGUUAACACAUUUGGCUGCUAACUAAAAGACUGGUGAUUCAAAUCCACC